This is a non-coding RNA of Podarcis lilfordi (Lilford's wall lizard), 76 nucleotides long. The record is from the annotation of a GenBank genome assembly. NCBI's taxonomy places the organism in Eukaryota, Metazoa, Chordata, Lepidosauria, Squamata, Lacertidae.
GGGGACACCGUGGCUCAGUGGCAGAGCAUCUGCCCUGCAAUGCAAAAGGUCACAGGUUCAAAACCCUGCAUCUCCA